RNAcentral lists this ribosomal RNA (1429 nucleotides) under metagenome. RNAcentral's name for it is "bacterial SSU rRNA". It matches the Rfam family "Bacterial small subunit ribosomal RNA". The record is from RNAcentral.
GCAGCUUGCUGCUUCGCUGACGAGUGGCGGACGGGUGAGUAAUGUCUGGGAAGCUGCCUGAUGGAGGGGGAUAACUACUGGAAACGGUAGCUAAUACCGCAUAAUGUCGCAAGACCAAAGAGGGGGACCUUCGGGCCUCUUGCCAUCGGAUGUGCCCAGAUGGGAUUAGCUUGUUGGUGGGGUAACGGCUCACCAAGGCGACGAUCCCUAGCUGGUCUGAGAGGAUGACCAGCCACACUGGAACUGAGACACGGUCCAGACUCCUACGGGAGGCAGCAGUGGGGAAUAUUGCACAAUGGGCGCAAGCCUGAUGCAGCCAUGCCGCGUGUAUGAAGAAGGCCUUCGGGUUGUAAAGUACUUUCAGCGGGGAGGAAGGGAGUAAAGUUAAUACCUUUGCUCAUUGACGUUACCCGCAGAAGAAGCACCGGCUAACUCCGUGCCAGCAGCCGCGGUAAUACGGAGGGUGCAAGCGUUAAUCGGAAUUACUGGGCGUAAAGCGCACGCAGGCGGUUUGUUAAGUCAGAUGUGAAAUCCCCGGGCUCAACCUGGGAACUGCAUCUGAUACUGGCAAGCUUGAGUCUCGUAGAGGGGGGCAGAAUUCCAGGUGUAGCGGUGAAAUGUGUAGAGAUCUGGAGGGAUACCGGUGGCGAAGGCGGCCCCCUGGACGAAGACUGACGCUCAGGUGCGAAAGCGUGGGGAGCAAACAGGAUUAGAUACCCUGGUGGUCCACGCCGUAAACGAUGUCGACUUGGAGGUUGUGCCCUUGAGGCGUGGCUUCCGGAGCUAACGCGUUAAGUCGACCGCCUGGGGAGUACGGCCGCAAGGUUAAAACUCAAAUGAAUUGACGGGGGCCCGCACAAGCGGUGGAGCAUGUGGUUUAAUUCGAUGCAACGCGAAGAACCUUACCUGGUCUUGACAUCCACGGAAGUUUUCAGAGAUGAGAAUGUGCCUUCGGGAACCGUGAGACAGGUGCUGCAUGGCUGUCGUCAGCUCGUGUUGUGAAAUGUUGGGUUAAGUCCCGCAACGAGCGCAACCCUUAUCCUUUGUUGCCAGCGGUCCGGCCGGGAACUCAAAGGAGACUGCCAGUGAUAAACUGGAGGAAGGUGGGGAUGACGUCAAGUCAUCAUGGCCCUUACGACCAGGGCUACACACGUGCUACAAUGGCGCAUACAAAGAGAAGCGACCUCGCGAGAGCAAGCGGACCUCAUAAAGUGCGUCGUAGUCCGGAUUGGAGUCUGCAACUCGACUCCAUGAAGUCGGAAUCGCUAGUAAUCGUGGAUCAGAAUGCCACGGUGAAUACGUUCCCGGGCCUUGUACACACCGCCCGUCACACCAUGGGAGUGGGUUGCAAAAGAAGUAGGUAGCUUAACCUUCGGGAGGGCGCUUACCACUUUGUGACUCAUGACUGGGGUGAAGUCGUAACAAGGUA